GUAAAGGUCGGUGACGAAAUCGGAGAGCAGCGGAUUGCCGCAGUUCCGGUAGAUCGCCACAUGG
RNAcentral lists this small RNA (64 nucleotides) under Sinorhizobium meliloti 2011. RNAcentral describes it as "putative ncRNA". The record is from RNAcentral. Lineage: Bacteria; Pseudomonadati; Pseudomonadota; Alphaproteobacteria; Hyphomicrobiales; Rhizobiaceae.